GAGAAAAAUAUGAAAUAUGAGACACGGGCUGAGAAGCUCUGAGUGCUGGUGGAGCAGGGAAUCUCCAGAGUUCUGUUCUGCUGAAAAACACCAGAAACACGUUCUGAUUCUGAGUUUGAUUUAUUUUAACAAGCAAAUAAUCACCAGGAAAGAAAACAACAAGAUCCAAAACCAGGAAACACAUGAAAGGCAUGGAAUAAAAAUUGGCUUCGGUAUGGAAUACAAAAGAUCUGAAUACAAUACAAUACAAUCUGAACACAAAACUGAAACAAAGUUAUUUAAACAACAAACUAAUUACGGGGUGAAUCAAAACCAGCUGAGAUUUCUUAAGACACAUAAGGGAGAUGCUAGAUCGAUCUAUCUAUCUAUCUAUCUAUCUAUCUAUCUAUCUAUCUAUCUAUCUAUCUAUCUAUCUGUCUGUCUGUCUGUCUGUCUGUCUGUCUGUCUGUCUGUCUGUCUGUUUGUCUGUCUGUCUGUCUGUCUGUUUGGGUGUGAAAGAGUCUAAUCCCAUCUAAACACAUUACUGCAAUUCUGCAACAAUCUAGAUCAUGUAAUGUAACAAAACAGACCAAUUGCAAAAAAGUCCUCAAAAUAAACUGGUAUUAUUGCAAAUUCCUCAGAAAAGAGAAAAGUUAUAGCAAGUUCCAUGUGCUGCAGGGUCAGCACAUCAUUCCACCCUUCUAGAAGAUACUAAAAUAAAUUAUGAUGCUGAACUUCACAAGUCUCUUAACAGAUGUGAGAACGAAAAUUAAAAAAAAGGUGUUUGAGUACACAUGUAGUAACCUCAAGGUUAAAAUGCUGCAAAGGGUUUUACACCUGCAUCAUCUAAAUGUGGCUUUCAAUUGUGGUGGAAAAAAGUCACAGUAUUUUUGCCCCACGUUUGUUUGUCAGAAGCAAUGCAAAUUUACUAAAGAGAACGGAGAGCAGUUAAGUUUUAAUAGAAACGCCGUAUUAAGGUGAUGUAUUUUUUAGCAGGGGUGUCAUGAAUAUAUACAUAAAUUACAUAUUAAUCAGUUCUGUUAAUAGUUGCAAUAAUAAUGAUAAUAAUAAUGAGGAAGAAUUACACACAUUGUCUUUGUGCAGCAUUUGUUGUGCAUGUCCAUGAUAAACGCACAAUUUUGGCGCAGCGUCAAUAAAAAUCACAAAUUUAAAAAAUCGACUGCGCCUUCGUUACGCUGAACGACUUAUUUUUGUAAUUCACUUCUAAAAUGCUGGAAAAUUCAGUCUAUCUGAACUGAAAGAAAGUUUUUUUUGUUAUAACCACAAGCCUUUCCAGAGUAUCAGUGUUCUCUGCACCGUUACCACAAACGCAAUUGAGCAUGAGAGCAUUAGAUUUUAACUGGGCAAUGAACCUGAUGAGCGUCAUCAACUUAAGUCGUCAGAAAUACAGAAGUGUGAAAACCAGAAACCUCAGACUCGAUAUGUCAUUUGUGUUUUGAGUCGGAGCCCUAAAGGACAAGUCUUUUAUUGCCUUCUGUAAGUACAUCGUCAUGAUGUCCAAAAGAACUGCAAAUUAAAUAAAUAGUAGUAGAUGCAGUCAAUGUUGCUUGAUGUGACUUAGUUUUACUUGUUAAAUGCAUGAAUCUGCAGUCUGCACUUUUUUUUUGGUAAAUUUUCUUAUUGUAUUUUUUUUUUAGUUGACAUUUAACAUUAGAUGUUUUACUCAUUCAGCCUGGUUUAGGUUUCUAUUUCUCCACAGCAGAGCUGUUUAAAGCUGACGGGCCGCAACGAUGAACAGCACCGUUUGGGAAACCACCGAGACCAGCAAUGAAGUCAUGAAUAUAAACAGCAAGACGACACCGGAUUACUCUGAGUUCCACAGCUAUGGCACGACACUGGAUUACUCUGAAUACUACAGCUAUGGCAUUGAUGACGAUUCAAGCCCCUGUGAUUAUUAUGUAAAUACAAAACACAUUCUCCCGGUGCUCUACUCCGUGUUCUUCAUGGUGGGUUUGCUGGGAAACAUGCUGGUGCUGUGGGUGAUCCUGAGAGGUUCUCAGAUUAAAACAAUGACUGACGUGUCUCUCCUGAACCUGGCCAUCGCUGAUCUUCUGCUAAUCUUCUCUCUCCCCUUCCUGGCUCACUAUGCCAGAGGAAGCUGGACUUUCGGUAAUGGCAUGUGCACCCUGGUCCUCGGCGUGUACUACAUCGGAUUUUACUCUGGAAUUUUCUUUAUCGUGCUGAUGAGCAUCGACAGAUACUUGGCGAUCGUCCAUGCCGUGUUCGCCUUGAGGAUCCGUACAAGGGCUUAUGGGAUUUUCGCGAGCAUCUUCGUCUGGAUUCUCGCUGUUAUAGCAUCAUUUCCUGAGCUCCUGUAUCUUAAAGAGGAACACACUUUUGACAAAGUCAUUUGCAGCGCGUAUCCAAAAGACACAAGACACAAUGAAAUAAGAAGUGGAGCGUUCUUUAAAAUGAAUGUUUUGGGGCUGCUGAUUCCACUCAUCAUUGUGGGAUUUUGUUACUUGAUGGUACUAAGGAGGCUUCAGACACUUCGUAAUUCCAAGAAACUGGCCAUUCGUCUUGUUAUUGCUGUCAUGGUGGUGUUCUUCUGCUGCUGGACACCGUACAACAUCGCAGCGUUCCUCAAGGCACUGGAACUCAGGUACCCUGAUUCUACAGAGUGUGAACUCAGCAAAAACACUCAGCUGCUGCUGCAGAUCACUGAAGCCGUGGCGUAUUCACACAGCUGCCUCAACCCGUUCCUCUACGUGUUCGUGGGUGAAAAGUUCAGGAGGCAUCUCGGCAGGCUCCUGCACCAGACCCCAUGCAUCCAUGUGCAGUGUGUAAAGAACUACAUGACCCAGGCCACAGGCUCUGUGUAUUCACAGACCACGAGUGUGGAGGAACGCUCAGCUGGUGUCUGAAUCGUAGAGGAACAUCUCAAAUUAUUACAAUCUCAUUUAGAUGCAUUAGUGAAAAGGUGACUAAUGUGUUUAUAUACAUAUAUCAUUGCUUUUAGAUUAGUCCUAUAUUUUAAGCUACUUUUGUUGAGAGCAUAUUAACCUGUAAGAUUCCUUUUUUGCUGAAGUGAUUCCCUGUACAUUUCUCAUACCUUCACUAUGUACACUUUAUGGCUAAAAGGAUGUGGACGCCUGACCAUUAGACCCCUUAUUAAUCUUCAAAAUCAAAAGAUCAGUUUCACCUGCUGCUGUAACAGUCUAUUAUUAUUAUUAUUAUUUUAUUAUUAUUAUUAUUUUAUUAUUAGAUCUUAAAAUCUGAGAAUAUUUUCUGGAAUCAUUCAGGUAUGUUGGAUAAGAGCAGGAUCUGAUGUUGGCUGGUGUGCAUUUGGCGGUAGAUUGGUGGUUAAGGCAUUGAACAUUGAAACAUAUGGGUUCAAAUCCCAGCCAUAACAAACUGCCACUGCUGGGCCCCUGAGUAAGACCCUUAACCCCAUAGCUGCUCGGUUGUAUGAAUGAGAUAAAAAUGUAAGUUUGUUUGAAUAAGUGCGUCUGCCAAAUGAUGAUAUUAAAAAAACUCUGAAGGGUUUCCCCAAUUAAUGUUUACAAACUGUUGGCGAAACCCCCACCAACAAAUGGAUGGUCGGGUGUCCAAAUAAUUUUGGCCACAAUUUGUAUGCAUUUUAAACUAAUGAUGUAGUGUGUACGUUUAAAAGCUUAUGGACGUAUCACACAAGCUUGUUGGUUCUAGAGUUUUUCUGAGAAUAAUUGCUGUAUGUAUAUUGUUUUUUUCUAUUCUUCUGCUUGAGUGAAAAGAAAUUUGUGUUUUAGGUCAAAAGACAAAUAUGAGACAAUGGAUGUGAGAUUCGUCUUUCACUUCCUGAGAUUUACACCAAGAGUCGUUAAGAGCUCAGAACACCUACGGUUGCAAACUUCAUGAGUAAAAGUAUUGGAACAGAUAAAAGUCUAUAAUAUGUAUAUUUGCACAUCUGGACAGACAGACAGACACUGUCUCGUGAUGCAAAAGCUUUCAGUUGGUUGUUUGUCUCUGAUUCAGGAGAUAUGUGGUCUUCAUGCGGUUAAUAUCUGAUAAUUAAUUUUGAUAAAAUCUGAUGAGUCUGUAUUGUAUAUUCUCCCUGACGAGGUACUUUAUCGAGUCGGCAGCGUGUUUUUGUAUCAUUGCCUUUUCAACACGUGAUAGAAAAAGUUCCUUCAGUGAGAUUCGAUACGUUUCUGAAUGAACCUGCAGACAGAAUUUCACCCAAUUUCUCUUUCUUGGUUUGAAUUUCUUUGAAUUCGAAUUCCAGUCUGGGCUUUUGAGACUCUUGAGGUUUGUGGUAUGGCCUAUAUAUUUCGUUUCUCACAGUAAUUGAACAUGUUGUAUUGUAUUGUGGCACUUAAACGCCUUCCCUGUGGUUGUUAUUGGUGAUAUCACUAUUUGUUUUUUGAAGCUCUCACAACUGCUGCUGUUUUAUUAGCCGUCAUGUUCAGCAUCUGCUUGUUAGUACACCAGUAUUGGCUACACCAAAGCGUGAUUGCCCUCUUCUUGCCUUUCUCACAUAGACAGCUCUCUGGUUUUUAUGUUGGUUUAUACUUUCCAGGACUCAUACAAAGUCUAAACAUCCAAAACUAUGAAGAACAGAAUGCCUCUAUGGAGCAGGACGCACCCGAGCAGCACAGGUCCAUCGUACAGUACUGUCACGAGCUUUCAGCAGGUGUGUAGAAAUGCUGUACGUAAGAAAACGAUUUCAGAAAUAUAAAACAUGCGAUGAGGACUGUAGACACAGUGGUCAGCCAAGGAAACAAGGAAAGAGAGAUUAUGCUGACUUCCCUUCAACAUCAGAAGAGCAGUGACAUUAACAAAGACCUGAAGGAAACCAGUGGGUCUCAGGUACACCAAUCUACUGUCUGAAGAAGUCUGGGCAGAGGUGAUCUUUACAAAAGAAUUGUGGCCAUAGAGCCAAAACCCCAACAUGGAAACAAGGCCAAGAGUCUCAACGCUGCAGGUUUGGAGCUGCUUUUCUGCAGAUGGAAAUGUGGUCAGGAUUAAUGGUGUCCUCAAAGCUGAGGCAGAUUCUUUAUCAUGCAGGACCAUCAGGGAGGUUUGUCCCUGAAUUUAUUCUGCAGCAGCACAACGAGCCCAAACACACAGCCGACAUCAUUAAGAACGUUCCUGGAAGUGAUGGUCUGCUUGGGAUUACACGAAGAGACAGAAAGAUUGGAGGAAGCCUACAUACACAGAAGAUCUGAGUGCACACAACAAACUACAGGAAUCUUUUACCUCGAGGAUUAUUGUAAUUACUACCUGGAAGUUUUAAUACGUGCAGGAAUAAUCAGCUCUAAUCAGUCAUGAAACAGCAAAAGGUUCUUUACCAGAGUCUGAAGAUACGACCACAGUACCCGAGGAAGAAGGAAAAACUACCUGAUGGAAGAGCUGCAGACUGUUUGUUGUUACCUCGAAUACUGAAGGCUACAGCAGGGGGCAGUGUUUUCUCUCACAAAGACAGACAUCCGGGCACAAUUAGUGUCUAGAAUUCAGACAGUCUGUGUUCAAGGCGAGAUUGAAAGACAUGUUGUUUAGUCAAGUGAAUUACUGGUGAAUUUAAUCAUACAGAGAAAUAAAAAGACAUGAGAAAAUGUAGAACUACAGGAACUAAGCAGACCAACACACAGGAGUACUUACAACAGUGAGCAGAGUGUGUCCAAAUCUAAUUAUAGACUCAAUGUUUUUGCGUAAAGAGUUUUAUAUACUAGUGAGAGAAACUAACCAUAUGCUGAGCAUCGUGCAUGUCUCCCUAGAGUCCUGUAUCCAUCACAAAAACUGAAGUAUGAAGACCAAAAACUUCAGACAUCAGCAUUUUAUUUGAUUGGACUCUGAGUUCAUGUUAAUGUUUACUGCUGUGUUUGGUAACAAUGUGCAGGUUACUGCUACAAAUAAACUAAAAUUUCACUAUGACAAAUUUAUUUAUUUAUUUAAGAAUUAUUUAUUUAAGAUUAAUUUAUUUAAGAUGUAGCAUAAACCUUGACCACUGGUUUCAUGUAAUUGCUGUAUGAAUGAAAAGAGUAUUACGCGGCACCAUGCUGAUAUUAUAGGAAUCAUAGAGCACACUGGUGUUUUAUACUGUAUAAGAUGUGAUAAUGUUAAAUAUU
RNA transcript from Silurus meridionalis, 6047 nucleotides. It is a transcript of the gene named C-C chemokine receptor type 1-like, with no coding region annotated. Lineage: Eukaryota; Metazoa; Chordata; Actinopteri; Siluriformes; Siluridae. The record is from RefSeq and is a predicted model, not a curated record. The transcript has 4 exons.